UAUGAUCGUUGAAUCUCACACAUCGUGACCACGAUUUGGCGUUGAUUGAUUAUUGCUUAUGCAGUGCAUCUGGAGAAACCAACAGCAUGGUAAAUGUUCAGGCAACUCAUCUGUUUCAAGCAAAGAUUGAUCUAAUAGCUCCAGGUCCGGUUCCAGCCAGGAUGGACCUGUUGGCUACAGGUCCAGCCAAGCAGGAUCUGCUGCCUCCAGGUCCAGUUCCAGCCAAGCAGGACCUGCUGGCUCCAGGUCCAGUUCCAGAAAAGGUCAACAACUGUACACAACUGGUACCAGACCACGGAACCCAAAAUCCAGCUUCGCAAUCUAUCACGAUGCAUGAUUUUCAGAUGAUGAAGGUAACCAAGAGCCUGAGGAAACAAAGAAAACUACAAAAAAUGAAGUCCUGCCAUCAACAUACUGCAGAUGAAAAGACCGGAAGGUGACGCGGUGACAACUUACCGUAAGACAGAGCAGACAGGCAGCCUACUUCACAAUAUUCCAUGGCGAUGUACACAUGGGACUCACUGUAGAGGACAGAAAAGGAUGAGGGUGUGUCAGUCACAUGGUCUUAGAGCUGUGUGCUUUGCAUUCAGGGACCUUGACUGGUAAAUCUCUUUUGGGUUGUUUUGUUUGUUCAAUUAUCAUCAUUAUUUAUUAAUAAGAAUAAUAAAUGUUGUUAUUAACUGGUUAUUUAGAACCGACUAGAACAAACUGUCCAUGUUCCUGUUGUCUUCAUUUCUUUCUGGUUUUGGUUUUUUGAAUCUUUUUUAAUCCCUGAGUAUAACCCCUUCUGCCUGGUACACUUCUUACCGACAGUAGGCUCCCAGAAGCUGGAUGAUGUUGGGGUGCUGGCACGCCGUCAUCACUUUCAGCUCCUCCUCAUAAGGUGAGAAUUCAUCUACAAAAAGACACACCAAACAAGUUUAUACACAAAAUCAACAAGAUAAAACAAUCAUACAGUUACCUGCUCACUGGGAGAUACUACAUUCACACAAACACAUGCACAAAAUUCAUUUCUUUCAUUUCUCAAUAUAUGUGGUAAAUUUAUUAGAAAUCUGACUAUCAACCUCAGAAACCAAGAGUAAAGUCUGUUUCAACUUAUUGAUCCUUUGGUAAAGACAUUCGAACCUCACUUAGGUAAGAAUCUGUGCACACUGACCUGAUCCUGUCACAACCUGAGAUUUGAUGGCUGCAGGUUUGCCGGUCUGGAUGUUUACUGCCUGCAGCAAAGAGAGCAAGACAAAUUGAAUAAAAAGUCACAUUCACGGUCCGGCAGGGGUUACUCUGGGUCCGGAGUCCGGACCGGAGUUUCAUGUUCGUCCUGUGUAAUGUUUCCUGAUUGUUAUCACCUGUGUAUCAUUGUAUAACAUUUAAAUUUACGGCAUUUCUGAGACUACCACCCUAUCCUGUUCGUGCCUGUUUGCCGUCAGGUCAUUGUUUGGUGAUGUUUCCCGUCGUGUGUACUAUGUAUUAAACCCCCGUUUCGUGACGUCGUGGCUUCAAGUUGCUCUGGAUAAGGUCACAGCUGGGAGCAGAUCCUUCUCCUAUAGAGCUCCGCAGUUGUGGAACGGCUUGCCUGUCAGUGUCCGGGAUUCAGACACAGUCUCAGUGUUUAAAUCCAAUCUGUUUUUUCUGAACUCCUAGACACUCAUUUCACUUCACUUUGACGCAGUGUCAAUUAUAAAGUCCAGUUUAUCACAGAGUCCCCCUGUUAGACACAGACAUAGUUAAAUUCACCCUAGGUAGGCUGUCCUAGUUAGGGUACCGGGCCACUGUAGCACCAAUAUACCACUAUAACCACAUAUUUCAGUAUCGGUUGUACAGUGCAACCGUCUGCCGCUGCUUCUGUUUGUUUUUCUCCGAGACACGGAAUCAAGCACCCAGACUACUGGCAGACCCCAGUGAAGAGGCCAGCAAAUAAAUCCUGGUUCCUGACAACUGCUUAACAAGGACAUACCAUGAAACAAACCAGAGGGUCACCACAGCCACCACCACCGUUACAACUACAGCUUCAGGGAUCUUCAAGUGGACCAGUAGCAUCAUUAUGGACACGUAAUGUAGACCAUGACACUGGACUACAUUCUGGACUUCUCCAACCCUACAACUGUAGGACUUUUUUUUUUUUUUUCAUUCUUUCCUAGUGUUUUUCCUUGUGUGCAGAAGGGUCAAGUGUGGGGGUGUCAACUGUAGGGCCUGUCAAAGCCCAUUGAGACAUACUGUAUGUGAUUUUGGG
Long non-coding RNA from Denticeps clupeoides (denticle herring), 2230 nucleotides. The record is from Ensembl. Lineage: Eukaryota; Metazoa; Chordata; Actinopteri; Clupeiformes; Denticipitidae.